GUUGUGUUUCUACCGGGCAGAUUCUCUCCCAUCACAGCAUCAAAUGAUGUGGCUCCACAAGCAAAGAUGUACAGAAGGACAGAGAUGCCCUUACCAGUUGCAAAUCCACAAACUCUGGUCCCUGGCCCAGUUCCUUCAUCAGAGCAAAGUGAUAAGCAACCAGUUGAACUCCAAAACCUUGCACCAAUAGUGCAAGUCCAAGGGCUACCAUCUGAACUUCAAUCGACUGUUUCCAUUCCACAGGAAAACCAACCUACCUCUAAUAUCCUUCCUUUGACUGAUAACCUGCCA
RNAcentral lists this unclassified non-coding RNA (291 nucleotides) under Hevea brasiliensis (rubber tree). Lineage: Eukaryota; Viridiplantae; Streptophyta; Magnoliopsida; Malpighiales; Euphorbiaceae. The record is from RNAcentral.